CCUACGGGGGGCUGCAGUGGGGAAUAUUGGACAAUGGGGGCAACCCUGAUCCAGCCAUGCCGCGUGUGUGAAGAAGGCCCUCGGGUUGUAAAGCACUUUCAGUGAGGAAGAACGCCUGGUGGUUAAUACCCAUCAGGAAAGACAUCACUCACAGAAGAAGCACCGGCUAACUCCGUGCCAGCAGCCGCGGUAAUACGGAGGGUGCGAGCGUUAAUCGGAAUUACUGGGCGUAAAGCGCGCGUAGGUGGCUUGAUAAGCCGGUUGUGAAAGCCCCGGGCUCAACCUGGGAACGGCAUCCGGAACUGUCAAGCUAGAGGGCAGGAGAGGAAGGGAGAAUUCCCGGUGAAGCGGUGAAAGGCUUAGAGAUCGGGAGGAAGACCAGUGGCGAAGGCGGCCUUCUGGACUGACACUGACACUGAGGUGCGAAAGCGUGGGUAGCAAACAGGAUUAGAUACCCCAGUAGUC
RNAcentral lists this ribosomal RNA (465 nucleotides) under Vreelandella stevensii. Its description in RNAcentral is "partial 16S ribosomal RNA". It matches the Rfam family "Bacterial small subunit ribosomal RNA", at positions 338 to 795 of the family's 1533-position model. The record is from RNAcentral. Lineage: Bacteria; Pseudomonadati; Pseudomonadota; Gammaproteobacteria; Oceanospirillales; Halomonadaceae.